UCACCGUUAGCUUGCUCCACCGGAAAAAGAAGAGUGGCGAACGGGUGAGUAACACGUGGGUAACCUGCCCAUCAUAAGGGGAUAACACUUGGAAACAGGUGCUAAUACCGUAUAACAAUCAAAACCGCAUGGUUUUGAUUUGAAAGGCGCUUUCGGGUGUCGCUGAUGGAUGGACCCGCGGUGCAUUAGCUAUUUGGUGAGGUAACGGCUCACCAAGGCCACAAUGCAUAACCGACCUGAGAGGGUGAUCGGCCACAUUGGGACUGAAACACGGCCCAAACUCCUACAGGAGGCAGCAGUAGGGAAUCUUCGGCAAUGGACGAAAGUCUGACCGAGCAACGCCGCGUGAGUGAAAAAGGUUUUCGGAUCGUAAAACUCUGUUGUUAGAGAAGAACAAGGAUGAUAGUAACUGUUCAUCCCUUGACGGUAUCUAACCAGAAAGCCACGGCUAACUACGUGCCAGCAGCCGCGGUAAUACGUAGGUGGCAAGCGUUGUCCGGAUUUAUUGGGCGUAAAGCGAGCGCAAGCGGUUUCUUAAGUCUGAUGUGAAAGCCCCCGGCUCAACCGGGGAGGGUCAUUGGAAACUGGGAGACUUGAGUGCUGAAUAUGAGAGUGGAAUUCCAUG
This 625-nucleotide ribosomal RNA is filed under the name Enterococcus faecium. RNAcentral describes it as "bacterial SSU rRNA". It matches the Rfam family "Bacterial small subunit ribosomal RNA", at positions 62 to 673 of the family's 1533-position model. Lineage: Bacteria; Bacillati; Bacillota; Bacilli; Lactobacillales; Enterococcaceae. The record is from RNAcentral.